CCUGGUGACUAUGGCGCAGGGGUUCCACCCGUUCCCAUCCCGAACACGGAAGUUAAGCCCUGCCGCGCCGAUGGUACUGCCGCUUGACGGUGGGAGAGUAGGUCGUUGCCAGGC
This 114-nucleotide ribosomal RNA is filed under the name Spirochaetota bacterium. Lineage: Bacteria; Pseudomonadati; Spirochaetota. The record is from RNAcentral.